This 371-nucleotide ribosomal RNA is filed under the name uncultured bacterium. RNAcentral's name for it is "bacterial SSU rRNA". It matches the Rfam family "Bacterial small subunit ribosomal RNA", at positions 527 to 896 of the family's 1533-position model. The record is from RNAcentral.
AGAGGUGGCAAGCGUUGUUCGGAAUUACUGGGCGUAAAGGGCGCGUAGGCGGUCGGGUAAGUCUCGUGUGAAAUCCCUCAGCUCAACUGAGGAACUGCACGGGAAACUGCCUGGCUUGAGUUCGGGAGAGGGAAGCGGAAUUCCGGGUGUAGCGGUGAAAUGCGUAGAUAUCCGGAGGAACACCGGUGGCGAAGGCGGCUUCCUGGACCGAUACUGACGCUGAGGCGCGAAAGCUAGGGGAGCAAACGGGAUUAGAUACCCCGGUAGUCCUAGCUGUAAACGAUGAGCGCUGGGUGUAGGGGGUCUCAACCCCUCCUGUGCCGAAGCUAACGCAUUAAGCGCUCCGCCUGGGGAGUACGGUCGCAAGGCUG